AGUGAACGCUGGCGGCAUGCCUAACACAUGCAAGUCGAACGGCAGCACAGUAAGUUCUUGCUCUUACCGGUUGCCAGACGCGUGCGUGUGACGUAUACACCUGUCCCUUCUUUUUCGUGGGGCCUAAGGAAGCGAAAUUUACGCCACUACCGCAUACCACCUACGGGUGAAAGCAGUGGAUCUUUGGCCCUUUCGCGUUUGAAUUAGCCGGUGUCGGAUUAGUUAGUUGGCGGGGUAAAGGCCCACCAAGGCGACGAUCCGUAGCUGGUCUGAGAGGAUGGUAAGCCACAAGGGAAGUGGGACACGGGCCAGGAUCCUAAGGGAAGGAGCAGUGGGGAAAAGUGGGCAAUGGGGGGAAGCCUGAUCCAGCCAUAGCGGGUGGGGGAAAGAAGCCUUCGGGUUGGAAAGCCCUUUUGUUGGGAAAAAAAAGCAGCAGGUUAAAACCCCGCGGGUGUGACGGUAACCGGAAAAUAAGCACCGGCUAACUUCGUG
RNAcentral lists this ribosomal RNA (492 nucleotides) under uncultured bacterium. RNAcentral's name for it is "partial 16S ribosomal RNA". It matches the Rfam family "Bacterial small subunit ribosomal RNA", at positions 29 to 507 of the family's 1533-position model. The record is from RNAcentral.